GUCGCGCGAUAAAGUUUAGCCUGAGAGUCGGCUCCGCGGUUAGAAAGUUGGGGUCCCGUCCCCGUGCGUCCCUUUCCCGGGAGCGGUGUAAGAAGCUCCGGGCGGUCUAUGGAGGCCGCCGCCGCUCGUUGUGUCGGUGCAGGCCUUGCGGUGAUGGACUCUGGAUCGGUUAAUACGUGGCGGCCGCGCUGAGCUCCCGGCUGUGUGUUCCCGCAGCUCUUUGUGAACUUUUCCCGGGCCGCACCCCCCCCCGCCCCGGAGAGCGGAGUCCGGCCGCUUCGGUGUUUUUUGGACCCGGCCCUACUCACACUAUGUGCCCGCUCCCUAAGUGCACUCUGGCUCUGGCCGUUCUCCUGCUAUGCGGCUCCGCUCGGUCUGAGCUCCCAAACCGAAACUGCUCGGAACUGCUGCAAGUUUCCAGCCCGAGGGGUAUCAGCCAUGGUAAUAUCCGCCAGCAAGGCAAGGAGAAAGGGCAGUGAAACUAUCAUCUGACCUAUCAACCUCGGAUGCAUUUGUACCCUCAGUCACUGCCACAGAUAUUCUAAAGGGUGAGCCCAUGGAACAUGACUGGCCUGGAUGGAGUCCCCAGCUGUGCACACCAACUGGCGGGUGUAUUCGCAGACAUCUUCAACCUCUGCUAACUACGAUCUGAAGUCCCCAUCUGCUUCAAGAAGACCACCAUCACCCCAGUGCCAAAGAUAAACCAUGCAGCAUGCCUCAAUAGCUACUGCUCAGUAAUUAUGAAGUGCUUUGAGAGGUUGAUCAUGGCUCACAUCAACACCAGCCUACCAAAUUGUCUUGAUCGCCUACCAGUGCAACAGGUGCUAUCUUCCCAACCUUACACUCAUCCCUGGAACAUCUUGACAACAAGGACACCUACAUCAGGCUCUUACUUAGUGACUACAGCUCACCCUUCAACACUAUAAUUCCAAACAUACUCCUCUCCAAACUCUGUGACCUAGGUCUGUGCUCCAAGUUAUGUUGCUAGAUUCUUGUCUUCCAGACGAAAAGACCCAGUCAGUAAGGACCGGUGACAACAACACCUCCACGAUAAUCCUCAACAUGGUUGCCCCACAAGGCUGCGAACUCAGCCCCCAAACGUACUCUCAUAAACACACACGACAUGUGGCCAAAUUCCAUGCCAACUCCAUCUGCAUGUUUGCUGAUGACCCCACCGUUGUUGGUCAGAUCUCAAACAACGACAAGCCAGAAAACAGGAAAGAGAUUGAAUACUUAGCGGUCUGGUUUAAAGACAACAAUCUGUCCAUCAAUGUCAGCAAAAUGAAGGAGCUGGUCAUUGACUUCAGGAAGUGGAGUGGAGGGCACACCCCUGUCUGUAUCAGUGGUGCUGAGGUGGAGAUGGUCGAGAGCAUUGAGUUCUUGGGAGUGAUGAUCACCAACAAUCUGUCCUGAUACACCCACAUUGACACACCAAUAAAGAAAGCACAGCAACGCUACUCCUUCCUCAGGAAAUUUGGCAUGUCCACGGGGACUCUUACGAAUUAUAGAUCAUCGAAUCCCUACAGUGUAGAAACAGGCUAUUUGGCCCAACAUGUCCACACUGACCUUCUGAAGAACAUCCCCCCCUGACUCAUUCCCCUACUCCUGCUUUUCCCCAUGUCUGGCCAACCUAACCUAAACAUUCCUGAACGCUAUAGGCAAUUUAGCAUGGCCAAUCCACCCUAACCUGCACAUCUUUGGACUGUUGGAGGAAACUGGAGCAUCUGGAGGAAACCCACACAGACAUGGGGAGAACGUGCAAACUCCACAUAGACAGCUGCCCAAGGGUGGAAUCAAACCCAGGUCCCUGGCGCUGUGAGGCAGCAUUGCUAACCACUGAGCCACAAACUGCUCUUCCCAAGACUGCAAGAAAUUAGAGUUGUCAACACAGCCUAGUGACUCAUGCAAGCCAACCUUCCUUCCAUUGACUCCAUCUAUACUUCCCGUUGCCUCAGGAAAGCAACCAAUGUAAUCAAAGACCCCUCCCACCCCAGUUAUACUCUCUUCCACUCUCUGUUGGGCAGAAGAUAUAAAAGUUUGUGUACACAUACGAACAGAAUAGCAGCUUCCCUACUUUUGAAUGGACCUCUUUAAUGAUAAUGCUGAUCUCUCUGCAUCUUCUUGCCAUCUGUAACAUUGUAUCUUGCAUUCUAUUAUAUUGUCCUGAUGCACAUGUAUAGUAAUGAUCUGCCUGUAAAACACGCAAAACAGCACUCUUUACUGCACCUUGGUACAUGUGACAGUAAUAAAUCAAAUCAAAUAAAACCAA
Molecule: long non-coding RNA, 2269 nt
Organism: Rhincodon typus (whale shark)
Lineage: Eukaryota; Metazoa; Chordata; Chondrichthyes; Orectolobiformes; Rhincodontidae
Exons: 2
Source: RefSeq, a predicted model, not a curated record